AGUGUCAUACGAGACUGCUCCCGCUUUGCGGGGGAGGAAGGAGAGGAUGAUGUCAAGUCAGCAUGUCCCUUACAUCCAGGGCAACACACAUCCUACAAUGGAGCCGACAAUGGGUAGCGACGGGGUGACCCCGAGCCAAUCCUCUAAACGGCCCCUCAAUUCGGAUUGAGGGCUGAAAUUCGCCCUCAUGAAGCCGGAAUCGGUAGUAAUCGCAAAUCAGCAGGUUGCGGUGAAUACGUUCUCGCUCCUUGUACACACUGCCCGUCAAGCCAGCAAAGUCAGCAGCGCCCGAAGCGGGUGACCCUGACCCCUCACUCUGUGUUUUACCCAUGUAGAGCAUAUAGUGAGGGGGUGGGCCCCUCUACGGUGAGGUUGGCGAUGAGGACUAAGUCGUAACAAGGUAUCUGUACUGGAAGGUGCAGAUGGAUCACCUCCUUU
Molecule: ribosomal RNA, 438 nt
Filed under: Candidatus Woesebacteria bacterium
Lineage: Bacteria; Candidatus Woeseibacteriota
Description: bacterial SSU rRNA
Rfam family: Bacterial small subunit ribosomal RNA
Source: RNAcentral